AGCUCAAUUGGUAGAGCAACUGACUUGUAAUCAGUAGGUUGGGGGUUCAAGUCCUCUCGGCGGCACCA
This 68-nucleotide transfer RNA is filed under the name Paenibacillus mucilaginosus KNP414. Its description in RNAcentral is "tRNA-Thr (TGT) (tRNA-Thr-TGT-2-1)". It matches the Rfam family "tRNA", at positions 9 to 71 of the family's 71-position model. Rfam says of the family: Transfer RNA (tRNA) molecules are approximately 80 nucleotides in length. Their secondary structure includes four short double-helical elements and three loops (D, anti-codon, and T loops). Further hydrogen bonds mediate the characteristic L-shaped molecular structure. tRNAs have two regions of fundamental functional importance: the anti-codon, which is responsible for specific mRNA codon recognition, and the 3' end, to which the tRNAs corresponding amino acid is attached (by aminoacyl-tRNA synthetases). tRNAs cope with the degeneracy of the genetic code in two manners: having more than one tRNA (with a specific anti-codon) for a particular amino acid; and 'wobble' base-pairing, i.e. permitting non-standard base-pairing at the 3rd anti-codon position. The record is from RNAcentral. Lineage: Bacteria; Bacillati; Bacillota; Bacilli; Caryophanales; Paenibacillaceae.